GCUCGCUUUGGCAGCACAUAUACUAAAA
RNAcentral lists this small nuclear RNA (28 nucleotides) under Cervus elaphus hippelaphus. Lineage: Eukaryota; Metazoa; Chordata; Mammalia; Artiodactyla; Cervidae. The record is from RNAcentral.